GCCUGUGACCAAAUCAACCAGAAUGUGCCCGAGCUCAUCAGAUCUCGGAAUCUAAGCAGGAAUCUACCUUGACAGUGCUUGGAUGGGCGACAACCACGCAGAGCGAGCUGUUUAAGCU
This 118-nucleotide ribosomal RNA is filed under the name Petromyzon marinus (sea lamprey). Lineage: Eukaryota; Metazoa; Chordata; Hyperoartia; Petromyzontiformes; Petromyzontidae. The record is from RNAcentral.